Non-coding RNA from Pseudomonadales bacterium, 196 nucleotides. The record is from Rfam. NCBI's taxonomy places the organism in Bacteria, Pseudomonadati, Pseudomonadota, Gammaproteobacteria, Pseudomonadales.
UCAGCAGCGCGAUCUGUAUUCCAAAUCCGUUUAAGAAUGGCGGCAAACGACCUGGACGUUCGGCAAUCUUCACCAAUACUGAUGAGUACUGGUGUGCGGCGUAUCCCCCAAGCGCCCCGCCAGGCAAGGUACCGUGGACCGCGUACCUUGAUUUACUCCUAAUGGUCUUAACCCGGUCUCAUCCCCCAGAGGCCGG